This 8865-nucleotide long non-coding RNA is filed under the name Canis lupus familiaris (dog). RNAcentral's name for it is "lncRNA (ENSCAFG00845007801.1)". Lineage: Eukaryota; Metazoa; Chordata; Mammalia; Carnivora; Canidae. The record is from RNAcentral.
UACAAAAUUCAAAGAAAACAAGCUUGCAUUACAGUUUUAAGGAUCUUGGUGCAGCAGAUUCCACAACUCAUAAAUUAUAAUGUGUUUCUUUGCAGCACCCUCUCUACAUGUAGCUGACUUAAAAACGCAGUAAAGAGAAAGCAACAGUACCACUAGCUUUUGGUAGAAUGAGUGCUAUGCUACAGAUCUCUGCCUGCUUUUCAAACCAGUAAUCCAUCAAGGUCCAGGACAAAACAGUAACUGGUUCUGCUCAACUCAUCACUGAGCAAAUAUGUUAAUGUACGUCUCACUGGGUGUGGGUGCCAUUAUUGCACAGCCCGAAUAUUACAUGCAGUUUGUGUUUUGCCUUGUUCAAAAUGCAGACUGCCUCUGUUAGGAAGAGGCCAAAAAUACUAUCCCCUGCAAGCUGCUCAACUACAGAGUCCAAGAAAGCCUGCACCCUUCCUGAAUGACGGUUGACCUGCUGAAAGCUGUACUUCCGAGAAUACAAUAAUACCUGAACCCAAAAGAAGUUCAUCUAAAAGCACUUGAAUUAUUUAGGUUGUUCACCUACAGUGAAUUAUCAAAAUCUGUAAAUAAAAUAAUACUAGCACAUCUAAGGAAGGAUCUCUGUGGUAAAAGAAAGUGAAUAGACUUAGAAGUGUUACCCCAAAACAGUGUACUCAGAAAGCUCAACGGAAAGACCUACCAUUCUUUUUUUAAAAAUAUUUAGUUAUUCAUGAGAGACACACACAGAGAGAGAGAGAGAGAGAGGCAGAGACACAGGCAGAGGGAGAACCAGGCUCUUGUGAGGAGCCCAAUGUGGGACUCGAUCCCAGGACCCCAAGAUCAUGACCUACGCUGAAGGCAGAUGUUCAAUCCGAGCCACCCAAGUGCCCCAAGACCUACCAUUCUUGUAAAGUGCCCAACUCAUAUGAAAGCUCUAAAUAAAUGUUUAUUGAAGCUAAUUAAAAUCAAUAAACUUCUCUAAGGCUUAAGUCACUUAAAAUAAGUCAAAGAUUAUAAAUCAUCACUAUAAUGAAGCCCUUCUUUCAAUUAGGAUUCUUCUAUGGUGGAUGAGUUGGUGCUUCUGAUAAAUACAGUGUGUUAUGGCCAUGCUGGAGGGUUGCCCUGGCAGUGCCCAAGCUUUGGGGGUUUCUUUAUGGAGGUGCCACCAUGGCCCUGAGCUCAAGACUGAACUCUGCUCUUUCCUUCAUGGGGAGAAAUGAGUAGAUCCCUUUCUCCUGAGAGAGCUCUUUUGAGAAUCUUUAUUUUGUUGCUGCUUUCUUUUUCAUGUGUCAUAUAUGCCCACCUCAUUCCCUAAGAGAACUUGCAGCAUUUUAACAACCGAUCAUGAAAAAGACUAAAUCUGUUCUAAAAUGCUCCAAGAUAGAGAAUUUUUUGUAAUAUUAAAAUAUAUAAAACAGCUAAGUUAAAAACUAAAAUGGAUCAGAAACCACUUAGGAAGUAAUGAAGUCAAAAGAAGUAUGUGAAUCCAUAUGGAAAGACAACUCCACUGGUAAUAAACACUCAGAGGAGUUUUUUUGCACAAUAUUUCCUGGGUUAAGAAGUAGAAUACAUAAUGCCCUUCAGUUCAUUCAUUAAUUCAACUGUUUCAUUCAUUCAACUGUUUAUUGAAAGCACUUGCUAUGUGCACUGCACUGUUGACUAAGAAACAUUCUUCACAUAGCUGCUGCUUAACCUGACCUCUGAUCAAACUCCAGAACGUGACUUUAGUUGUACUCAACAAGUCAGAUUCAAAGAAGAGAAGCUUUAAAAAAUUAUUCAACAAAUACAUUCUACCAGAAACCUAAGGUUUUAGGUAAGAUGUGUUGUAUUUUGGUGAUAGGAUUUGUCCCCAGCAACAGAGUUCAGAGACUAUUCAGCUCUUAUGAAGUAGUAGGUCCCUUGAACUGGAAUCUUUCUCCAAACACUGUUUCAAACCUGCUUCAGCAGGAGGCCGUCCAUGCAAGCCUGGGCUCUCUGCUGAGUGCUGCAGGAUGUGGGAGUAUACAUUUUUUUAAUUGAUGCCAGACAAGCAGAGUAGACAUUCUAUUUUGACACUUAGGAAGACAACUUUCAUCCCUGUUUCAAUGGAAACAAUCCCACUUCAGUAAAUAGGCAGGUACAGGGGUGUCUCUGAAAAGGACCAAUAUUUUUCUUAAAAAAUGAAGAUAUUUUCAGCUGCUCAAAUGAUUCUUACCGAGUACAUGAUACAGAUGCCUUUUUCCAGAAAACAAUUCUUAAGGAUGCCAUUUGCUAAUCAUAUUCUGUAUCGAUAGGCUCUUUAAGAUAACAAAUGUAAAGCAGCACUGCAUCUUGAUACCCCCCACCAGCAUGAGUUAGAGGCAAGAGGGGUCUCGGGUCUGCUCACUGGUUUUAUGCAACGGCAUGGAACUCUCAAAUAGAGUUGUGUGUCUUCUCAUCAAGAUGUGUAAGAAUGCCUGGCACUCUGUACAGGAUGACAACAACAACACAUACCCCAUACAAAAAUAAAGUCAUCCCUCCUCGCCCCCCACAAAAGACUCAUGCCUAAGACACAUUGAAACACUGAGCCCUCGCUUUAGCUUUUUCCCCCAGAGCAAAACUUGGACAACUGGACGUGACACUGAUUUUGACGAAUGCCCAUCACAUUCCAACAAUGGCUGGCCAUGUGAAAUCACUCCGGGCUAACCAAGAGUGUACAAGUAUGUGCUCCCCACCCUCCUUCCCUAGCUCCUCAGCACCACCUGCCUUCCUCAUCCAGAAAGCAUUACUGCCCACCUUCUCAGGGAGGGGAAGCCAGAGCCCAGUCACAGUUUGUGUUAGAAGAUGGAUGUGAGAAGCUGCACUUCUUUGCCCAUCCCCGGAAUAGACGUGGUUCAAGCGUGGCAUCUGGCAAAUCUAAUCAUGUGAAGCAAAUCUACAGAAGUGCUCCAAACAGGAUGCCGGAGAGCAUUGCCCUCAGAGCCUGUUACGAUAAAUGGAGAGAGGUGUACACGCAGGCAAAGAUACCAAUUACCCAAGCUGGCAUGUGCCCAGCUCAGAACAACUAACACACCCUAAAUGUGUAAAUAAUCACCCUCAAUAUUUUAAUGAUCUCAGUAAUUGAGAAUUGUCUCUUUUUCCCACCCAUUUCACCUCGAAAAUAGCACUCCCUACAAUCCAGUCUCUAUUAGCAAUCUGCUGAGACAUUAAUUGGAUAUUGACCCAAAGAAAUGUCUACUACCUGUAGCAUCACUACAACGCUCAAUCGAAAACCAGCUCUAAAUUUGAGAUGCAGCUAGUAAAGAAUUCCAUCUCACCUCUUUGAUGAUAAUUUUAACUGCUCGUACUUGGAAGCCAAAGGAUUUUAUUUUAAAAUAAUGAUUAAAAAAAUUCAAGGCAACUGCAGUAUAAUGAAAAGGCCCUGGCUUAGCAGUCAGGAGGCCCAGCUUUCCAUUACUGCUCUGUUCUUCCGAACUCUUGUGACUAUGACUCUGGACCAUCUGUUCAUUUAUUCUUUUAUUCAACUAUUUAUUAAGUGUCUACUCUGAGCUGAGCACUGGGCCAAUUUCUAUCAGUCUUUGAUUCCUCAUCUGCUUAACAGCAAUAUUUAUAUCUACUCUAACACACAGGGUUGCAAGGAAAACGCAUAAACUUGCUUAUGUGGUAGUUUUUAGGAAACAAUAAAGCACUAUGCAAUUAUGAAGUGACUAUUACCAAAAACAUUCUAAUUUGCUUGAAUCUGCACCUGACAAGCACCUCAAGGGCUAUACAGGUAUAUGAAUAGAAUCUGUCUAUACAUAUCAUAUGUAAAUUAUGCACAAUGCUAUACUAUUAUAAGUGAGCUAUAAUAAAUGAAAUGCAAUUUGUAGAAGAGAGGGGCAAAAUAUUUGAGUGAUGGAAAGAGCAAACUUUUUUUAGAUUCUCAUAAAUUAUAAAUGGGGCCAAAAGAAAUUUACAGUUCAAAAGGCACUACAUGGAGAGAGAAAAAUUAAACAUAAUGCUUUCUGCUGUAUUUCUGGAACCAGAUUGUUGGUCAAUUAUGGGCUCCACUACUUACAGCUGCUGCCUAGGAGAAGUUACUUCAUCUUUGUGCCUCAGUUUCCUCAUCUACGAAAUGUGGUCAAUUAUAGUGCACAUCCUCUGGAAUAGCUGGUAGGAUUAAAUGGGCUAAAGUAUUAAAGUCCAGGUUAUACAGCACAUUGUAAGUCUUCCUAAGGAUGCGCUGUUUACAAUGCUGAGACUUUACCAUCUUUUAUUUUUAAGGAGGGUUAUCAGAGAUAAUAAUGCUUAUAAAUCAGUUCAGUGAAUUUAACUGUGGGCACAUAUAUAGAGUCUUAUGUCAUUUCUCUAUUCAAAUACUUACAAAGACUUCAUGUUGUCUACGAUAUACAGUCUAAGAUUAUUCAUUGGCUUUUAAAGCCCUGUAUUAUACACUUUCUGAACAUUUUUCACAACUUCUAACAUGAAUGCUACAACUCAGUUACAUCAAUUUCCCCCUCUAUUGGCUCCUUUCCAUUAGCAUAAAUAAAAACUCUACCUCCCAUCUUAAAAAAAAAAAAAAAACUCUGUUGAUCAUCUUUCUUUCUUUGUGCCCUUUUACAGCAAAACUUCUUGAAGCAAUUGUUCACAGUUGCUGUCUGGAUUUCCUGUUGCAUUCUCUCUUGAACCUAUUCUAAUUUGGUUUCAUUCCUUGCGAGUCUCCCUAAAACAGCUCAUGUCAAUGUCACUAAUAACCUGAACAUUGCCAAACCCAACUGUCAGUUCUCAGGACUUCUCUUCCUCAUCUGUUCAGCAAAAACUGACUUUCCUGGUCACUUCUUGUUUUUUGAAAUGCUUCCUUCAUUUUGGCCUCCAGAAGACUACUCUCAACUCUCCUCCAUCACUUCUCAGCCUUUUUUGCUGGUUUCUUCUUGCCAUCCUGACCUCCAAGCAUUGAUAUAACCCAGAACCCCAUCCUCAGACCUCCUAUCUUUUUAUACUAAUUCCCUAGCUCAUUUCCACCAGGCAUAAGGCUUUAAAAAUUAUCUAAGUGCAGAUUUCUAAUUUAUAUUUUCAAGUACUCCCCAUUCUCUGAAAUCCAGACACACAUCCAUCUAUUAGUUCAUUCCAUUUGUAAGACUAAAUAAUUUCUAAAUUAAUAUGUCCUGAACUCUUGAUUAUUCCUCCCAUAGCUCCUACUAUUUCCAUCUCCCUAAUCUCAGAAAAUGGAGAUUUCAUUCCAAAGAAAUCUUCCUUAAUUACUCUCUCUCAUACUCCAAAUUCAAUUUAUUAGCAAAUCCUUUCAACCCACUGUUGGAAACAUACCUAAUAUCCAACCAGAUCUCACAGCUUCCACCACUACCUAAUGCAAAGGCCCCCUUGCUUCUCACUUGGACUUCUUAUAGGAGCCUCUACACCUCUGCCCAUGUCACCCCAUAGUCCGCUCCUACACAGCAGCCAGAGUGAGCCCUUAGCAUAAGUCAAACCAUUUCACAGAUGCCCCUCAAAAUAACUAAUUGCUUUCCCAUUUCAUGUAGUUAAACUGAAUGUCUUCCACAGAGCCCCCUGUGGUGUCUUCAGUGAAGCCCUAUAUGACCUGGCUUCCUCUGACCUCAACCAUCACACUUCACCACCUCCUCCACCUCCUUUUUUGGCUUCACUCACACUGCCCUUUCUUUUCUUCCCAUACACAUACCUCCACAAGAAUAUAAGCUCCAUGAAAAUGGAAACCUGGGAGUUUUAUAAACUGCUGUCCAAAACGGUGUCUAGCACACCCCUAUAUUCAUUGAAAGAAUAGACUGAAUGAUGAAUUUCUAUCUAUCUAUCUAUAUAUAUAUAUAGUUCCAUAAAUAAUAACUCCUAUACAUUGAAUGCCAAGCACAGUGCCUACUCUAUGUCAAACCUUCAUGAAAACUUGUUAUCUCUGAUAUAUAGAUGAGGAAGCUGCAUCCAGGGAAGGUUGCAUUUCAGGUCCCAUAUCACACAGCUAUAAAGUGGUAGCACUGAGGUUUUAACAAAAUCUGUGCUCUUUUCACUAGGCCUCUAGGCAUAUAAAUAUUCCACAAUCAUUUCUAUUCCUUAAACUGGUAGUCUCACCAUAUCUGAAUGCCUCUUCCAACCCUAAAUCUCCAAUUUCUAUUACAAAUCAAUGCUUCUCUUAAUAAUUUUCUUUUUCAGCAUCCCACUCAUCUAUAUGAAUCAUUCCAAUUUGUAUCAGUGUCUCCAUUUUCAGGAUUAAAGCACUUAAAGUUUGUGAGGCACUACAAUGCUCUCAAGUACAUGUGCUUUUCCAUAAUUUUCUAAUUUGUAUGUCUGUGCUAGUAUUAUCUGCCCAAACAAAUACAAUCCAGGCCUUUAUUUUGGAGCCUACCCUGUUAUGGAAAGAAUACAAGUUAUCUGUCAGAAGCUACACCUCUCCUUGUUGCUGUUUAAAUAUUCUUACCAUCGGACAUGAGAUUAUAGAGUAGAGUCCCAUUUGCUCAGACUAAUGAAAGUCUCAUAGAUCAAUAUUUUCCUUUCUAGUCCCCUGACCCUCAGUUUCCCCCAUUUGUAAACAUAUGAGGUAUGAGGACAUACCGCAAAUGGUCACCGUUAGGUACAGAUGCUGAAAUAGAUCUUAACUAGUUUUCUAACACAGACACUGUAAGUGUUUGUGUUAACGGAUGAUUAUUUGCCUCUGAUUCCUUCCAUUCUAUGGGAAAGCCUGUCUACACUGAAGAUUCACAUUUCUUAAACACCAUUUCCUUCACAUCACUCCCUCUCCUAUGAAACCCAGCAUAGACAGCUCUCCACUAUCUACAGAGUGAAGGUUAGACUUCUUAGUCUGAUACUGAAAACUUCUCAUAACCAGACACCCCCGCCUCACUACAAGCUGAUGGUCCACAAUUCUGUAACAAACACUCCCAGACAAGAAGCUGGAGUCCCCUCUGUGCUUUGUUCCCUUGUCCAGGGAAUUUUACCUGCACCAAGCGCCCUUCUCUCCCUCACUUUUAGGUCAACAUUCUCAAUAUCCUUCAGACAUUAUGUAACUCCACUGAGAAAAGAAAGCCACCAAAGUGGAACUCUUGUUGUCUUCACAACCUCAAAUAGACAAAUCUGUUUGUGCCUGCUUUUCCCCUCUUUCCUCUGAUCAGAGUGGAGGAAAUACCACUAUUUUUAUUAAAGACCAAGGUCUCCAGCCAUGCUCAGGAUCCCCUCUUGCCUUCCCCAGACCUCUCUCCCCAAACUUCAGUCUUCUGGCCCCUCACUCUUCCCUGAGUAAUUCUAACAUUCAAACAUGUUCCAGUACAUUCCAACUGGAAUGGGGAAAGCACCUCACCUAAUUCAUUUAACCCUUGGCUUGCUUCUCUCCUCUUCCAAUAAGUCUGCCUCCAUCCUUCAGUCUAACCAAAUUUCCAUCCAUCUUUCCACCAAUAUUGUUCUGGCUAAAGUCACCAAUAACCUUGAUCUUGCCAAACUUCACGCAUCCUUCUUUGACAUCCUCGUACCUUUUGACAGUUGUCUGUUCCAUCUCUCUUGGUUUCCAUAUCUCUAUACUUCCAGCUUUCUCUCUACUUGGCUGGAGACUUUUCUCAGUCUCCCUUUUUUCUUCUCUCUCAGUUCUAAAUAUUUGGUUAGGGCUUGGGCCUGGGCCUCCUCUUUCUCUACGUUCUGCAAUAUAUCUUGAACAUAUUUACUUCUCUGCAUCUCCAUGGAAAUCAGCCCUUUUCAGGCCAUCAUCCUGGCUAGCCUAGUCCACUGGAACAGCCUCCUAACUGGGCUCUAUCUUGUGUCUCUUCCAUUAGCAGCACAGCAAGAGUGACCCUAUUAGAGAUCAAUCAGUUCACUUCACUCUCCUUUGUGAAGGCUUCCUACACACCAAGAAUAAAAUCCAACCUCUUAUAUGAUCUCCAAAUCCCUUGCAUCAUGUCACCCUCCUCUAUCUCCACUCCAUCUGGACUUGAAUAAUCUUGUGCUCCUAUCAGCAUGUUUAGUAUGUUACAGUCACAAUGGUCAAUCUUCAGUUCCUCAAAUAAGCAAAGUUCUUUCCGAUAUCAGAGCCUUUUCAUAUACUGUUCCCUCUUGAUGGAACAGCUUUCUUCCAUCUUCAUAUGCUAGUUCCUUCAACUUCAGUAUAAAUCUCACCUGCUUAGACAUUCCUCUCACAAACUCACAAUUCCAAAUGUCUUCUCCACCAUCAGUUUUCUCUAUUUGUAUUAUAUGCUUUCAUCAUCGCUCUUAUCUCAGUAGUUACUUUAUGAGUUUUUUAGGUUUGUUCGAUUUCUUUCUGUCUCUUCUAUUAGAAUAUGGCCUGGGACCAGAUCUGCCUUUUUCAACACUGUAUCUACCCUUGCACCAUGCCUAGCAUAGUGCCUGGCUCAGUGAGCACUCGGGAAAUAGGUGUAGAAUGUCAAUGGAUAUUCACAAAAAUUAAGAGUAUGUGUGAUUAUAUAGAAUACGCUUCCAUUUAUCUGAGAUAUCCAGAAUAAGUACACAUCAAUAUAAACAAAGUAGAUGAGUGGUUGCCUAGGCUUGGGGUAGAUGGGGCAGCUGCUGUAAAGUGUGGGAUUUCUUCUGGGGUGAUAAAAAUGUCCUAACACACACCAUGGUGAUAGAUGCUCAAAUCUUCAAAUACACAAAAAAAUCAUUAAACUAAGCGCUUGAAACAGGUAGAUUCUACAGUAUAUGAAUCAUGUCUCAAUUCUCCUGUUCCUGUCCCCACAAAAAAAAGAAAAACCAGUUGAUUAAUCCAUGGGUUGAUUGGGUAUUUCUUUUUUCAUAGAUAACAGAGGCACACUAGCCUGUUUUGUUUCUUUUUAUAGUAUAUAUGUAUGAUCAACAGUAAGUAAGUAUGGACUAACAUUACUAGGGCAGGCAAAAAGUAAAGAGGUACUUAUUCAAUACCUACUGCAGACCAAGAAGGUUUUUUAGAAGCAACCAAAAAGAAAAAUGCCUCAACUC